Unclassified non-coding RNA from Callithrix jacchus (white-tufted-ear marmoset), 301 nucleotides. It matches the Rfam family "Metazoan signal recognition particle RNA". From Rfam's summary of the family: The signal recognition particle (SRP) is a universally conserved ribonucleoprotein. It is involved in the co-translational targeting of proteins to membranes. The eukaryotic SRP consists of a 300-nucleotide 7S RNA and six proteins: SRPs 72, 68, 54, 19, 14, and 9. The record is from Ensembl. NCBI's taxonomy places the organism in Eukaryota, Metazoa, Chordata, Mammalia, Primates, Cebidae.
GCCAGGCAUGGUGGCGCGUGCCUGUAGUCCCAGCUACUCAUGAUGCUGAGGCUGGAGGAUCGCUUGAGUCCAGGAGUUCUGGGCUGUAGUGUGUUAUGCUGAUAGGGUGUCUGUGCUAAGUUUGGCAUCAAUAUGGUGACCUCCUGGGAGUGGGGGACCAUCAAGUAGCCUAAGGAGGGGUGAAUCAGCCUAGGUUGGAAACAGAGCAGGUCAAAACUCCCGUGCUGAUCAGUAGUGGGAUUGCACCUGUGAAUAGCCACUGCACUCCAGCCUGGGCAACAUAGCAAGACCCCCUUCUCUU